This 174-nucleotide ribosomal RNA is filed under the name Triticum aestivum (bread wheat). Its description in RNAcentral is "partial small subunit ribosomal RNA". Lineage: Eukaryota; Viridiplantae; Streptophyta; Magnoliopsida; Poales; Poaceae. The record is from RNAcentral.
AUGUCACGUCGAGGUACUGCAUAAAAAAGAACUGCAAAAUCUGAUCCAAUUUUUCGUAAUCGAUUAGUUAACAUGGUGGUUAACUGUAUUAUGAAAGACGAAAAAAAUCAUUGGCUUAUCAAAUUCUCUAUCGAGCCUAAAGUAAGUAAAAAUGUCAUUUUAUUGCCAAGCUAG